CCUACGGGUGGCAGCAGUGGGGGAUAUUGCACAAUGGGGGGAACCCUGAUGCAGUGACGCCGCGUGGGUGAAGAAGCGCCUCGGCGCGUAAAGCCCUGUCAGCAGGGAAGAAAAUGACGGUACCUGAAGAAGAAGCCCCGGCUAACUACGUGCCAGCAGCCGCGGUAAUACGUAGGGGGCAAGCGUUAUCCGGAUUUACUGGGGGUAAAGGGGGCGCAGACGGCGAUGCAAGCCAGGAGGGAAAGCCCGGGGCCCAACCCCGGGACUGCUCUUGGAACUGCGUGGCUGGAGUGCAGGAGGGGCAGGCGGAAUUCCUGGUGUAGCGGUGAAAUGCGUAGAGAUCAGGAGGAACACCGGUGGCGAAGGCAGCAUGCCGGCUUCCGACUGACGCUGAAGCACGAAAGCGUGGGGAUCGAACAGGAUUAGAUACCCUAGUAGUC
RNAcentral lists this ribosomal RNA (440 nucleotides) under uncultured bacterium. RNAcentral's name for it is "partial 16S ribosomal RNA". It matches the Rfam family "Bacterial small subunit ribosomal RNA", at positions 338 to 795 of the family's 1533-position model. The record is from RNAcentral.